UUGAAAAUUUCAUUAUUUGAUUUAAAAAAAUUAAUUGUUCGAAUAUCUAAGAUAUCCGACAUUGGGUUAUAUACAUAUAUAAAUUAAAAAAUUAGUUUUUUUAAAUCAGCUUUUCAUCAUGGUCUGACCCUGUCUAAGGUUGGCCUGGCAAAGGCUAGAAGAAGAGAUAUUGUUACUCGAAAUGACUACAUAAGGAUCAACCAGAUUUGUUGCAUCAUAUGCAAGAAAACAUAUAAAGAGAAAAGUAAUCUCAAGAGACACAUGCAACUCAAACACUCUGCUGAAGCAGUUUUAGAUGCUAAUUCAAUAGAUGACGAGAAAGAUGAAGAUAAUUAUCAAACUAAGGAUGAAGAAACUGAUGAAGAAAAGAAUGAAGAAACUGAUGAAGAGAAGGAUGAAGAAUAAGAUCAAG
This is a long non-coding RNA of Eurytemora carolleeae, 412 nucleotides long. RefSeq lists it as uncharacterized. NCBI's taxonomy places the organism in Eukaryota, Metazoa, Arthropoda, Copepoda, Calanoida, Temoridae. The record is from RefSeq and is a predicted model, not a curated record. The transcript has 4 exons.